UCAGGACGAACGCUGGCGGCGUGCUUAACACAUGCAAGUCGAACGAUGAUGCCCAGCUUGCUGGGUGGAUUAGUGGCGAACGGGUGAGUAACACGUGAGUAACCUGCCCCUGACUCUGGGAUAAGCGUUGGAAACGACGUCUAAUACUGGAUAUGACUGCCGGCCGCAUGGUCUGGUGGUGGAAAGAUUUUUUGGUUGGGGAUGGACUCGCGGCCUAUCAGCUUGUUGGUGAGGUAAUGGCUCACCAAGGCGACGACGGGUAGCCGGCCUGAGAGGGUGACCGGCCACACUGGGACUGAGACACGGCCCAGACUCCUACGGGAGGCAGCAGUGGGGAAUAUUGCACAAUGGGCGAAAGCCUGAUGCAGCAACGCCGCGUGAGGGAUGACGGCCUUCGGGUUGUAAACCUCUUUUAGUAGGGAAGAAGCGUAAGUGACGGUACCUGCAGAAAAAGCACCGGCUAACUACGUGCCAGCAGCCGCGGUAAUACGUAGGGUGCAAGCGUUGUCCGGAAUUAUUGGGCGUAAAGAGCUCGUAGGCGGUUUGUCGCGUCUGCUGUGAAAUCCCGAGGCUCAACCUCGGGCUUGCAGUGGGUACGGGCAGACUAGAGUGCGGUAGGGGAGAUUGGAAUUCCUGGUGUAGCGGUGGAAUGCGCAGAUAUCAGGAGGAACACCGAUGGCGAAGGCAGAUCUCUGGGCCGUAACUGACGCUGAGGAGCGAAAGCGUGGGGAGCGAACAGGAUUAGAUACCCUGGUAGUCCACGCCGUAAACGUUGGGCGCUAGAUGUAGGGACCUUUCCACGGUUUCUGUGUCGUAGCUAACGCAUUAAGCGCCCCGCCUGGGGAGUACGGCCGCAAGGCUAAAACUCAAAGGAAUUGACGGGGGCCCGCACAAGCGGCGGAGCAUGCGGAUUAAUUCGAUGCAACGCGAAGAACCUUACCAAGGCUUGACAUACACCGGAAACGGCCAGAGAUGGUUGCCCCCUUGUGGUCGGUGUACAGGUGGUGCAUGGUUGUCGUCAGCUCGUGUCGUGAGAUGUUGGGUUAAGUCCCGCAACGAGCGCAACCCUCGUUCUAUGUUGCCAGCGCGUUAUGGCGGGGACUCAUAGGAGACUGCCGGGGUCAACUCGGAGGAAGGUGGGGAUGACGUCAAAUCAUCAUGCCCCUUAUGUCUUGGGCUUCACGCAUGCUACAAUGGCCGGUACAAAGGGCUGCGAUACCGUAAGGUGGAGCGAAUCCCAAAAAGCCGGUCUCAGUUCGGAUUGAGGUCUGCAACUCGACCUCAUGAAGUCGGAGUCGCUAGUAAUCGCAGAUCAGCAACGCUGCGGUGAAUACGUU
RNAcentral lists this ribosomal RNA (1337 nucleotides) under Curtobacterium sp. MG-2011-27-AM. Its description in RNAcentral is "bacterial SSU rRNA". It matches the Rfam family "Bacterial small subunit ribosomal RNA", at positions 24 to 1372 of the family's 1533-position model. Lineage: Bacteria; Bacillati; Actinomycetota; Actinomycetes; Micrococcales; Microbacteriaceae. The record is from RNAcentral. RNAcentral also lists the same sequence under 1 other name.